This 2372-nucleotide long non-coding RNA is filed under the name Homo sapiens (human). RNAcentral describes it as "HSALNT0229912". The record is from RNAcentral. Lineage: Eukaryota; Metazoa; Chordata; Mammalia; Primates; Hominidae.
GGGUGGCCAGAGGAGGGAGUGAGCAGGGCUGCUUCUCCAGGCCCCUCCCGUUCCCGGCCCAGCCCGUCUCACCGGCCACCACACCAUGCUGCGUCCUGCCAGGAAGUAGCCGCCCACAGUGCCUCUGUUGGUUCUGCACAUGGACUGGGAGACAGAGGCGGGGGAGACCUGGGUUUAGGGCACAGCCUUGGACCUCAUCAGCCACCUCAACACAUUCCUCAGCCUUGUUUCUGGCUGAAGAUUAACGAGCCAAGUUUCCCUGAUCGUUUGCACUCCCACCCCCAACUCCUCCCAGACACUCAGGGCAACCCAGGCUCUAAUCCCAGUGUCCUAUUCCCCCAGUUUUUUUCACAUAUUUUUUCUUUUUCUUUCUUUUUUUUUUUUUCUCAUUUUUUGAGACAGAGUCUUGCUCUUGUUGCCCAGGCUGGAGUGCAGUGGUGUGAUUUUGGCUCACUACAACCUCCACCUCCCAGGUUCAAGCAAUUCUCAUGCCUCAGCCUCCAAAGUAGCUGGGAUUAUAGGCACACGCCACUAUACCCAGCUUUUUGUGUGUGUGUGCGUGUGUGUGUGUGUGUGUGUGUGUGUGUGUAUUUUAGUAGAGACAGGGUUUCACCAUGUUGGCCAGGCUGGCCUUGAACUCCUGGCUUCAAGCAAUUCACCUGCCUCAGCCUCCCAAAGUACUGAGGCAUGAACCACCGCACCCAGCCCCACAUCUGUCUUUCUUUUUAGAGACAAGGUCUCGCUCUGUCUCCUAGGCUGGAGUGCAGUGACAUGAUCAUAGCUCACUGCAGCCUUGAACUCCUGGGCUCAAGCAAUCUUCCCACCUUGGCCUCCGAGUAGUUGUGACUACAGGCACACACACCACCAUGCCUGACUAAUUUUUCCUUUCUUUCUUUUUUUUUCUUUUUUCUUUUUAAGAAACAAGGUCUCAUCCAGCCACUAGUUCCAUCCCAACUCCCCAGGAUUUAUCAUUUGUGGAUUUGGCUUGACCUUCCUGGGGACCUUGAAUAUUUUCUGCUGGUCAGCCACAAUGUGGCCAGGGGAAUGAGACCCCAUUUAGAAUGUCGACCCUGAUGAAAAUCCGCGGACCCCUUCAGCUAGCACAGUCCCAAAGUGGGAAGACAAGGGAGGAAUGUUGGCUGGGUCUCCCUGAGAACUUCCAAAGACCUGCUUGCCCCCAGGCCUAGGUUUCUCCUUCAAAGAUCCAAGCAUCAUUCUCCCACCUAGGGUCCCCCUGAGACUUUUCCCCCAGGCCCCCAAAGCCAGCAGCCACCAGCAGCACACCCCCCAACUUCUCACCCACAAGCCAACGCCAAUGACCAGCAGGAAAUAUGCAGCAAUGACUAGGAUGUCAGCAGGAUUGUCAAUCAGGGCCUUCUGGGCCCCCAUCUCUGGUGCCGAGCCUGCCUCUGUGUGCUCCUCCAUUCUCCCCAGGAUCUGCCCCAUCCAGGAACCAGCCCCUGGAUUCCCCCAGGGGAAGGAUUAAUGGUUACCUCAGGGGCACUGAGCCGACAAGUCCCCCAGGUCUCAUUCCCGCUCCCCAGCUUUGUUUAGCUGAAUCAGGUCAUAUCAAGGCUGAAGGCUGGUCUUGGGGAGCUGGGCCCUUCCAAGUUCAAGAGCACUCUUUCCUGGGCCUUAGCAUCCGCCCUCUCCCCUGUGCUCCAGGCUCAAAAUCACUCUUUUACUCCCUAAAAAUGCAUCGCUUCCUUAGCUAAGCUAGCACCCCUGGAUUUAACUAAUCCAGAGGAAUCAUUUUCAAAUCCAAGUCUGACAGGGUCACUCGCCCUCCUCAGGAACCCUCCAUAGCUCUUAGUACAAGCUCUUCAGCCUGAUUUCCAAUCCUGGUCAUGCCCCAAUUCCCGCUCAUCCUUCCCCCUGCUUCUCCAAACCAAAUCUAGAGGAAAUCAGAAAUCCUUUCCCACUCCUUUAACCUACCCAGCCCAGAUUUUUGCUUUUUGCUUUUUUUGACCAGAUAUUUUAUCCCCACCAAAUCCUUGCACAAACUGUGUCUUCUGUUUAGAGCACUUCCCUGUCUCCCAAAUGGCCAACUCCUACUCAGCUUUCAGUACCCAGCCUGUGUCGCCUCUUCAAGAAAGACUUCUCUGACAUUUCUGAUGUAGUUCUGAGCACACUGUGUGGCCCUUGCCUGGGUCCAGGUCUGUCUUCCCAACAAACUAGUGUCUCCUCAAGAGUAGGACUGGCUGGGUGUGGGGGCUCAUGCCUGUAAUCCUAGCACUUUGGGAGGCUGCAGCAGGAGGCUCACUUGAGCUCAGGAGUUUGAAACCAGCCUGGGCAGCGGAGUGAGACCUCAUCUCUUAAAAAAUAAAUAAAUAAAAAUUAAAAAGAGCAGGACUGAUCUGAUUCAUCCCUGG